CAGCCGCCACGGUAAUACGAAGGGUGCAAGCGUUAAUCGGAAUUACUGGGCGUAAAGCGUGCGUAGGCGGUGAGUUAAGUCUGCUGUGAAAUCCCCGGGCUCAACCUGGGAAUGGCUGUGGAUACUGGCUCGCUAGAGUGUGUCAGAGGAUGGUGGAAUUCCCGGUGUAGCGGUGGAAUGCGUAGAGAUCGGGAGGAACAUCAGUGGCGAAGGCGGCCAUCUGGGACAACACUGACGCUGAGGCACGAAAGCGUGGGGAGCAAACAGGAUUAGAGACCCCCGUAGUCCCUGUCUCUUAUAC
Molecule: ribosomal RNA, 301 nt
Filed under: uncultured bacterium
Lineage: Bacteria
Description: partial 16S ribosomal RNA
Rfam family: Bacterial small subunit ribosomal RNA
Source: RNAcentral